Molecule: ribosomal RNA, 484 nt
Filed under: uncultured bacterium
Lineage: Bacteria
Description: partial 16S ribosomal RNA
Rfam family: Bacterial small subunit ribosomal RNA
Source: RNAcentral
AUUGAACGCUGGCGGCAGGCCUAACACAUGCAAGUCGAGCGGAUGAAGGGAGCUUGCUCCUGGAUUCAGCGGCGGACGGGUGAGUAAUGCCUAGGAAUCUGCCUGGUAGUGGGGGAUAACGUCCGGAAACGGGCGCUAAUACCGCAUACGUCCUGAGGGAGAAAGUGGGGGAUCUUCGGACCUCACGCUAUCAGAUGAGCCUAGGUCGGAUUAGCUAGUUGGUGGGGUAAAGGCCUACCAAGGCGACGAUCCGUAACUGGUCUGAGAGGAUGAUCAGUCACACUGGAACUGAGACACGGUCCAGACUCCUACGGGAGGCAGCAGUGGGGAAUAUUGGACAAUAGGCGAAAGCCUGAUCCAGCCAUGCCGCGUGUGUGAAGAAGGUCUUCGGAUUGUAAAGCACUUUAAGUUGGGAGGAAGGGCAGUAAGUUAAUACCUUGCUGUUUUGACGUUACCAACAGAAUAAGCGCCGGCUAACUUCGUG